AUUUUGUUGGUUUCUAGGGCGGAAGUAAUGAUUGAUAGGGAUAGUUGGGGGUGCUAGUAUUCAGCGGCCAGAGGUGAAAUUCAUGGAUUCGCUGAAGACUAACUUAUGCGAAAGCAUUCACCAAGGAUGUCCUCUUUAAUCAAGAACGAAAGUUGGGGGAUCGAAGACGAUCAGAUACCGUCGUAGUCUCAACCAUAAACUAUGUCGACUAGGGAUUGGCGGUCGUUUUUAUUGUAAGACUCCGUCAGCACCUUAUGAGAAAUCAAAGUGUUUGGACUCUUGGGGAAGUAUGGUCGCAAGGCUGAAACUUAAAGGAAUUGACGGAAGGGCACCACCAGGAGUGAACCAUGCGUGUUCUGCCCCGCCGCAGCAGCAUCCGCUCCGAAUAGCAGCUGGAAACAGUGAGGUGGGUCGGGUCCUUGUAAAACAAACCUGCUAGUGCCGACGGACGAGUUCGUCGACGCGACAUCGUCAAAUUGCGGGAACCUCCUAACGCUUCACCUACCAAGUGCUGCUACGCGUGUGCGCGAAAGCGCCAGCACGGCCGAGCUAAUCGCCCUGGGUAUGGUAACAACGGUGAAGAUAUAUCAUGGACGAUCCGCAGCCAAGUCCUACGUCGAAGUUCAUUCGAUAUGGAACGGGUUCAGAGACUAGAUGGCGGUGGGUCUGGCGCCUCGCGCGCCUGGCUUAAGAUAUAGUCCAAUCCGGUCAGCGAAAGCGCCGGCAACGAUAUUGGGAGCCUGCGGCUUAAUUUGACUCAACACGGGAAAACUUACCAGGUCCAGAGAUGUAGAGGAUUGACAGAUUGAAGCUCUUUCUUGAUCACUUCGGUGGUGGUGCAUGGCCGUUCUUAGUUGGUGGAGUGAUUUGUCUGGUUAAUUCCGUUAACGAACGAGACCUCAGCCUGCUUUUGUAGUUAUGCCUAUGCCUUCCCGGCCUAGGUCCGUGACUUCUUAGAGGGACUAUCGGUGUGGCAGCCGAUGGAAGUUUGAGGCAAUAACAGGUCUGUGAUGCCCUUAGAUGUUCUGGGCCGCACGCGCGCUACACUGCUGGGUUCAACGAGUCCGAACCGUACUUGGCUGAAAGGCCUGGUUAAUCUUUUGAAAUCCCAGCGUGCUUGGGCUUGCCUCUUGGAACUAGAGGCACCAACGAGGAAUUCCUAGUAGACGCAAGUCAUCAACUUGCAUCGAUUACGUCCCUGCCCUUUGUACACACCGCCCGUCGCUCCUACUGAUUGAGUGCUCCGGUGAAAUGUCGGGAGAUUGCUCCGCCGAUCAGCAAUGGUCGCGGAGUGGUCGAACUUCAUUAAAUUUGGGCUCUUAGAAGAAGGAGAAGUCGUAACAAGGUUUCCGUAGGCGUCGUCGUCGG
Molecule: ribosomal RNA, 1368 nt
Filed under: Plasmodiophora brassicae
Lineage: Eukaryota; Endomyxa; Phytomyxea; Plasmodiophorida; Plasmodiophoridae
Also listed under: 1 other name
Description: SSU rRNA
Rfam family: Eukaryotic small subunit ribosomal RNA
Source: RNAcentral